RNAcentral lists this ribosomal RNA (1366 nucleotides) under Acinetobacter calcoaceticus. RNAcentral describes it as "bacterial SSU rRNA". It matches the Rfam family "Bacterial small subunit ribosomal RNA". The record is from RNAcentral. Lineage: Bacteria; Pseudomonadati; Pseudomonadota; Gammaproteobacteria; Moraxellales; Moraxellaceae.
AAAACUGCGGCAGCUGAUGCGUGCUUACUCUGCAGUCGAGCGGAAGAGGUAUCUUGCUCUGAUCUUAGCGGCGGAGGGGUGAGUAAUGCUUACGAAUCUGCCUAUUAGUGGGGGACAACAUCUCGGAAGGGAUGCUAAUACCGCAUACGUCCUACGGGAGAAAGCAGGGGAUCUUCGGACCUUGCGCUAAUGAUUGAGCCUAAGUCGGAUUACUGUUGGUGGGUAAGGCCUACCAAGGCACGAUCUGUAGCUGGUCGAGGGAUGAUCCGCACGCUGGGACUGACACGCCAACUCCUACGGGAGGCAGGCGUGGGGAAUAUUGGACGAUGGGGACCUGAUCCGCCUGCCGCGUGUGUGAAGAAGUUAUGGUUGUAAGCCAUUUAAGCGAGGAGGAGCUUUAUUAAUACCUAGAGAUGUGGACGUUACUCGCAAAUAACACCCGGCUAAUCUGUGCCAGCAGCCGCGGUAAUACAGAGGGUGCAAGCGUUAAUCGGAUUUACUGGGCGUAAAGCGCGCGUAGGCGGCUAAUUAAUCAAUGUGAAAUCCCCGAGCUAACUUGGGAAUUGCAUUCGAUACUGGUAGCUAGAGUGUGGAGAGGAUGGUAAAUUCCGGUGUAGCGGUGAAAUGCGAAGAUCUGGAGGAUACCGAUGGCGAAGGCAGCCAUCUGGCCUAACACUGACGCUGAGGUGCGAAAGCAUGGGGAGCAAACAGGAUUAAUACCCUGGUAGUCCAUGCCGUAAACGAUGUCUACUAGCCGUUGGGCCUUUGAGCUUUAGUGGCGCAGCUAACGACGAUAAGUAACCGCCUGGGGAGUACGUCGCAAGACUAAAACUCAAAUGAAUUGACGGGGCCCGCACAAGCGGGAGCAUGUGUUUAAUUGAUGCAACGCGAAACCUUACCUGGCUGACAUAGUAAGACUUUCCAGAGAUGGAUUGUGCCUCGGACUUACAUACAGGUGCUGCAUGGCUGUCGUCAGCUCGUGUCUGAGAUGUUGGGUAGUCCGCACGAGCGCAACCUUUUCCUUAUUGCCACGAGUAAUGUCGGACUUUAAGGUACUGCCAUGACAAACCGAGGAAGCGGGAGACGUCAAGUCAUCUGGCCUUACGGCCAGGGCUACACACGUGCUAAUGGUCGGUACAAAGGGUUGCUACACAGAUGUGAUGCUAUCUCAAAAAGCCGAAUCAUCCGGAUUGGUCUGCAACUCGACUCCAUGAAGUCGGAAUCGCUAGUAAUCGCGGAUCAGAAUGCCGCGGUGAAUACGUUCCCGGGCCUUGUACACACCGCCCGUCACACCAUGGGAGUUUGUUGCACCAGAAGUAGCUAGCCUAACUGCAAAGAGGGCGGUACCACGGUGGCCUUAAUCCGU